UCAGGUCAUCUUGUGGUACUCAUUAACAUUCUUUGCGAAAUACAUCUCACCGUAGGUGAGCCUAUCAGAGAACAACAACUGAGAUGGUGGUUGUUCCAUAGCUUGGACUUCUUACUGACUGCAAUAAUCAGCAAAAUAAUAUUCUGCAAAUCCUGGUGUCUUUUGAUCAUGGAGCUAAACACACAUACUUGUCUCAGGAGUCAGAGACAUGGAAGAGGUAUUCAGGAAAAGGCGGAAUGACUACAGGCCCAAACGUUGCUCCAUGCCAACAAGGUGAGUCAGCAGAUUGGUGGCUGUAAUUGUGUCAGCUGCAAAAAGUCAUCUUUCUUACCAAUACCAUCCAAAUCUCACAAGAAUCUCCCUUGUGGCCCAUCCUAAAC
Felis catus (domestic cat) is the source of this 380-nucleotide long non-coding RNA. RefSeq lists it as uncharacterized. The record is from RefSeq and is a predicted model, not a curated record. NCBI's taxonomy places the organism in Eukaryota, Metazoa, Chordata, Mammalia, Carnivora, Felidae. The transcript is spliced from 3 exons.